RNAcentral lists this ribosomal RNA (439 nucleotides) under Peptostreptococcaceae bacterium canine oral taxon 005. RNAcentral's name for it is "bacterial SSU rRNA". It matches the Rfam family "Bacterial small subunit ribosomal RNA", at positions 9 to 430 of the family's 1533-position model. Lineage: Bacteria; Bacillati; Bacillota; Clostridia; Peptostreptococcales; Peptostreptococcaceae. The record is from RNAcentral.
GAGUUUGAUCAUGGCUCAGGAUGAACGCUGGCGGCGUGCUUAACACAUGCAAGUCGAACGGAACGUAACCGAGGAAAUUUUUCGAAGUGGAAUCGGUUACGUUUAGUGGCGGACGGGUGCGUAACACGUGGGCAACCUGCCCUGCUUUUCGGAAUAACGCCGGGAAACCGUCGCUAAUGCCGAAUGAUAUGAGAAGAAGGCAUCUUCUUUUCAUCAAAGAAUUUCGAAGCAGGAUGGGCCCGCGCCGGAUUAGCUGGUUGGUGAGGUAACGGCUCACCAAGGCGACGAUCCGUAGCCGACCUGAGAGGGUGAUCGGCCACACUGGAACUGAGACACGGUCCAGACUCCUACGGGAGGCAGCAGUGGGGAAUAUUGCACAAUGGGCGAAAGCCUGAUGCAGCAACGCCGCGUGAGCGAUGAAGGCUUUCGAGUCGUAAAA